This 21-nucleotide non-coding RNA is filed under the name Caenorhabditis elegans. The record is from RNAcentral. Lineage: Eukaryota; Metazoa; Nematoda; Chromadorea; Rhabditida; Rhabditidae.
UGUGGCUCCUGGUUUUAAAUU